This 490-nucleotide ribosomal RNA is filed under the name uncultured bacterium. Its description in RNAcentral is "bacterial SSU rRNA". It matches the Rfam family "Bacterial small subunit ribosomal RNA", at positions 38 to 524 of the family's 1533-position model. The record is from RNAcentral.
CGGCGGCAGCCUACACAUGCAAGUCGAGCGGUAGAGAGAAGCUUGCUUCUCUUGAGAGCGGCGGACGGGUGAGUAAUGCCUAGGAAUCUGCCUGGUAGUGGGGGAUAACGCUCGGAAACGGACGCUAAUACCGCAUACGUCCUACGGGAGAAAGCAGGGGACCUUCGGGCCUUGCGCUAUCAGAUGAGCCUAGGUCGGAUUAGCUAGUUGGUGAGGUAAUGGCUCACCAAGGCGACGAUCCGUAACUGGUCUGAGAGGAUGAUCAGUCACACUGGAACUGAGACACGGUCCAGACUCCUACGGGAGGCAGCAGUGGGGAAUAUUGGACAAUGGGCGAAAGCCUGAUCCAGCCAUGCCGCGUGUGUGAAGAAGGUCUUCGGAUUGUAAAGCACUUUAAGUUGGGAGGAAGGGCAUUAACCUAAUACGUUAGUGUUUUGACGUUACCGACAGAAUAAGCACCGGCUAACUCUGUGCCAGCAGCCGCGGUAAU